GGGCGCGUAGCUCAGUUGGCAGAGCACCUGACUUUUAAUCAGGGGGUCCCAGGUUCGAUCCCUGGCGCGCCUACCA
RNAcentral lists this transfer RNA (76 nucleotides) under Rhodospirillales bacterium. RNAcentral describes it as "tRNA-Lys". It matches the Rfam family "tRNA". From Rfam's summary of the family: Transfer RNA (tRNA) molecules are approximately 80 nucleotides in length. The record is from RNAcentral. Lineage: Bacteria; Pseudomonadati; Pseudomonadota; Alphaproteobacteria; Rhodospirillales.